Molecule: long non-coding RNA, 3287 nt
Organism: Ctenopharyngodon idella (grass carp)
Lineage: Eukaryota; Metazoa; Chordata; Actinopteri; Cypriniformes; Xenocyprididae
Exons: 12
Source: RefSeq, a predicted model, not a curated record
CUAAUUAUAUGACCAGCACCUGUAUAUUCUAUUCUUAAAUCCACUAUUCUUAAUGAAUUUUAAAACUGUCUUAACAAUUUUACCAGCUCCUUGUUUUGUGUUUAAUAUGUUGAUGAUUGUAAAUUCUUUGCAGUGAAAGAAGAUAUACAAUCAAAAACAGUAAUAUUGAAAAAAGUUAUUACAGACUUCUAUUUCAAUACAUUGUAAAAUGUAAUUUAUUUCUGUGAACAAAUUUUUCAGCAUCAUUACUCCAGUCUUCAGUGUCACAUGAUCCUUCAGAAAUCAUUCUAAUAUGAUUUGAUGUUUGAGAAAUAAUUUUAAUAUCACUGACCCCUAACUUUUGAACAAUACACACACACACACACAAGGACCUGAUUUUCAUUCACACUAAAAGCCGAACUUAUACUGUGACAUAUAAAGAACACUAGAGGUAUUUUAUCAAAUGAACCUCUUAGGAAAGUGCUGGUCUUGAUGAUGACGAGCUCGUUAUUACGACAACAUCAGGUGAUGCUUUUUCCCGAGACUCGGUUGGUUGAAACUCUUCCCACAUUGAGUGCAUGACUGAACAUUUUCAGUAAAUAUUGUUAUAAAAAAUUUUAUAAAACAUGCAUGGAUGAAUUGUUCACAGUAGAAACAGUAAUAUGCACUCGAAGUAAAUUGGGUAAAUUUUUUACACAGACAGCUUCCAACAUCACAGCACUGGUAAACAUGGAUCAUCAAGGAUUUUUUCCUCAAAUUGGCUUUGAUGAACAAGACAAACUUAAAGUGUUAGUUCACCCACAAAUGAAAAUCAUCCCAUAAUUUACUCACCCUCAUGCGUCGGGUCAGAGGUCAGUCUUUCGCUGGAACUACACUCACGCACAGCCGUUACAGGAGGCCCGUGAUUAUAGUUUAUAAAGUUAUAAAUAUGGAUAUUUUUCUUACAAAAACACAUCACUUUUCUUCAGAAGGCCUUUAUUAACCCCUGCCGUACGGAUUACUUUUAUGAUGGAUGGAUGUGCUUUUUUGGGUUUCGACAUCUAAGUUACAUUUAACUUCCAUUAUACAGCUUGGAAUAUAACUUCAAUUGUGUUCAUCUGAACAAAGGUAGUCAUAUACAUCUAGGAUGGCUUGAGGGUGAGUAAAUCAUGGGAUAAUUUUCAUUGUUGGAUGAACUAACCCUUUAAACGAACAAAAUGCUGCUCUGUUGGAAAGAAUAUCCACAUUUCAGUUGAUCUGAAUCUCACAACUCCAGUGAGAAGUUAUUAACCUCCGCAAUUCAAGAUGAACUACUUACAACUUAUUACAGACAAUAGUGUUUCCAUGCCUGAGCAGAGAAGCGAACUGACUGAAACUCUUCCCGCAUUGAUCACAUGUGUACGGUUUCUCUCCAGUGUGGAUCCUCUCAUGAGUUUUCAGGUUUCCUGAAAUACUGAAUCUCUUGUCGCAGUGUGAACACUUGAACGGUUUCUCUCCAGUGUGGAUCCUCUCAUGUCUUUUCCGGUCUCCUGAACUACUGAAUCUCUUAUCGCAGUAUGAACACUUGUAAGGUUUCUCUCCAGUGUGGAUCCUCUCAUGUCUUUUCAGGGAUCCUGAAUGAUAGAAUGUCUUGUCGCAGUAUGAACACUUGUACGGUUUCUCUCCAGUGUGGAUCCUCUCAUGUGCUUUCAGGUAUCUUGACAUACUGAAUCUCUUGUCGCAGUGUGAACACUUGUAAGGUUUCUCUCCAGUGUGGAUCCUCUCAUGUGCUUUCAGGUAUCCUGACAUACUGAAUCUCUUGUCGCAGUGUGAACACUUGUACGAAUUCUCUCCAGUGUGGAUCCUCUCAUGUGUUUUCAGGGAUCCUGAAUGAUAGAAUGUCUUGUCGCAGUAUGAACACUUGUAAGGUUUCUCUCCAGUGUGGAUCCUCUCAUGUGUUUUCAGGGAUCCUGAAUGAUUGAAUGUCUUGUCGCAGUAUGAACACUUGUAAGGUUUCUCUCCAGUGUGGAUCCUCUCAUGUCUUUUCAGGUCUCCUGACUGUCUGAAUCUCUUGUCGCAGUAUGAACACUUGUAAGGUUUCUCUCCAGUGUGGAUCCUCUCAUGUGUUUUCAGGGAUCCUGAAUGAUAGAAUGUCUUGUCGCAGUAUGAACACUUGUACGGUUUCUCUCCAGUGUGGAUCCUCUCAUGUGCUUUCAGGUAUCUUGACAUACUGAAUCUCUUGUCGCAGUGUGAACACUUGUAAGGUUUCUCUCCAGUGUGGAUCCUCUCAUGUGCUUUCAGGUAUCCUGACAUACUGAAUCUCUUGUCGCAGUGUGAACACUUGUACGAAUUCUCUCCAGUGUGGAUCCUCUCAUGUGUUUUCAGGGAUCCUGAAUGAUAGAAUGUCUUGUCGCAGUAUGAACACUUGUAAGGUUUCUCUCCAGUGUGGAUCCUCUCAUGUGUUUUCAGGGAUCCUGAAUGAUUGAAUGUCUUGUCGCAGUAUGAACACUUGUAAGGUUUCUCUCCAGUGUGGAUCCUCUCAUGUCUUUUCAGGUCUCCUGACCUACUGAAUCUCUUGUCGCAGUAUGAACACUUGUAAGGUUUCUCUCCAGUGUGGAUCCUCUCAUGUCUUUUCAGGGAUCCUGAAUGAUAGAAUGUCUUGUCGCAGUAUGAACACUUGUACGGUUUCUCUCCAGUGUGGAUCCUCUCAUGUGCUUUCAGGUAUCUUGACAUACUGAAUCUCUUGUCGCAGUGUGAACACUUGUAAGGUUUCUCUCCAGUGUGGAUCCUCUCAUGUGCUUUCAGGUAUCCUGACAUACUGAAUCUCUUGUCGCAGUGUGAACACUUGUACGAAUUCUCUCCAGUGUGGAUCCUCUCAUGUGUUUUCAGGGAUCCUGAAUGAUAGAAUGUCUUGUCGCAGUAUGAACACUUGUAAGGUUUCUCUCCAGUGUGGAUCCUCUCAUGUCUUUUCAGGUCUCCUGACUGUCUGAAUCUCUUGUCGCAGUAUGAACACUUGUAAGGUUUCUCUCCAGUGUGGAUCCUCUCAUGUGUUUUCAGGUGUCCUGACCUACUGAAUCUCUUGUCGCAGUAUGAACACUUGUAAGGUUUCUCUCCAGUGUGGAUCCUCUCAUGUCUUUUCAGGUCUCCUGACCUACUGAAUCUCUUGUCACAGUGUGAACACUGGAAAGGUUUCUGGUCACAUGUCAACAGUUUCUCUUUAGAAUGAGUACUCAUGUGCUCCCUGAGACUUCUUUUACGUGCGAAACUCUUUCCACACUGGUCACAUGUGAACACUUUGUCUUCAGCAUGAGUUCCUAUGUGCUCAUUCAGGCUUUUUUUACAUGUGAAAC